AGAACGAACGCUGGCGGCAGGCUUAACACAUGCAAGUCGAACGCACCGCAAGGUGAGUGGCAGACGGGUGAGUAACGCGUGGGAAUCUACCUAGCUCUUCGGAAUAGCUCCGGGAAACUGGAAUUAAUACCGAGUACGCCCUACGGGGGAAAGAUUUAUCGGAGUUAGAUGAGCCCGCGUUGGAUUAGCUAGUUGGUGGGUAAUGGCCUACCAAGGCGACGAUCCAUAGCUGGUCUGAGAGGAUGAUCAGCCACACUGGGACUGAGACACGGCCCAGACUCCUACGGGAGGCAGCAGUGGGGAAUAUUGGACAAUGGGCGCAAGCCUGAUCCAGCCAUGCCGCGUGAGUGAUGAAGGCCCUAGGUUGUAAAGCUCUUCAGUGGGGAAGAUAAUGACGGUACCCAACAGAAGAAGCCCCGGCUAACUUCGUGCCAGCAGCCGC
RNAcentral lists this ribosomal RNA (442 nucleotides) under uncultured soil bacterium. RNAcentral's name for it is "bacterial SSU rRNA". It matches the Rfam family "Bacterial small subunit ribosomal RNA", at positions 26 to 518 of the family's 1533-position model. The record is from RNAcentral.